This 402-nucleotide unclassified non-coding RNA is filed under the name soil metagenome. Its description in RNAcentral is "partial contains 5.8S ribosomal RNA, internal transcribed spacer 2, and large subunit ribosomal RNA". The stretch from base 1 to 121 matches the Rfam family "5.8S ribosomal RNA", at positions 35 to 154 of the family's 154-position model. The record is from RNAcentral.
GAUGAAGAACGUAGCGAAAUGCGAUAAGUAAUGUGAAUUGCAGAAUUCAGUGAAUCAUCGAAUCUUUGAACGCACCUUGCGCCCUUUGGCUAUUCCGAAGGGCAUGCCUGUUUGAGUAUCAUGAAAACCUCAACUCUCAUGGCUUGCCAUGAUGAGCUUGGACUCUGGGGGUCUUGCUGGCUUUACGGUCAGCUCCUCUCAAAUAAAUCAGCUUGCCGGUGUUUGGUGGGAUCACAGGUGUGAUAACUAUCUACGCUUGUGGUAUUCCGCCAGGUAACCUUCAGCAAUGGAGGUUCGCUGGAGCUCAUAAAUGUCUCUCCUCAGCGAGGACAGAUUUUGACCGUUUGAUCUCAAAUCAGGUAGGACUACCCGCUGAACUUAAGCAUAUCAAUAAGCGGAGGA